UUUGUACAAUUAUAGCUGUUCGUCAGGAUUCUAUGCAAGAGAAGAUAUUGAAGAUGUCCAUCAAGAGCAUAGAAAAUGAGAAGAGGUAUCGUCUGUCGUGGAUCUAAUAAGGAUCGAAAGGAAUUGUCCGUCGUCUAUGUAACAGUUCUCAUAAUUUGUAAUAAAUAAUAAAUUUAGACGGCAAAAAAAAA
This 191-nucleotide small RNA is filed under the name Arabidopsis thaliana (thale cress). RNAcentral describes it as "ATSL059400". Lineage: Eukaryota; Viridiplantae; Streptophyta; Magnoliopsida; Brassicales; Brassicaceae. The record is from RNAcentral.